Molecule: long non-coding RNA, 1669 nt
Filed under: Phasianus colchicus (ring-necked pheasant)
Lineage: Eukaryota; Metazoa; Chordata; Aves; Galliformes; Phasianidae
Description: lncRNA (ENSPCLG00000015315.1)
Source: RNAcentral
ACCGGAUUUACGGAUGACUUCUUCUUUUUUCCAACCGGGAGGAAGAGCCGGGCAAUCGAUCCGGCCUUGUUUUUCCAUCUUGGCGUUUCAACGCUUUGCAAAAGACGAAAGGAAAAAAGGGGCAACAAAAGCGGAAGAGGCCGUAAGGAAAUAGAAAGGAAGAAAAAAAGAAACGGGCGACGAUCCGCGAAGAGAAAAACGGGAAGGAGGGGAAGGGAAGGAAGGGGGGAAAGGGGACGAAACGCGGGGAGGCGGAGAGGCGAUGAGGGGUUCGGGUUCGGCUUGGAUUCGCUCGAGUUCGGGGAGCGUUCGGCUCGAGUUCGGAGGGGAUCGGCUCCAGUUCCGGGUUGUUCGGCUCGAGUUCGGAGGGACUCGGGAGGUGUUCGGGGCGACUUCCGGGCGAGUUCGGGGGCGCUCGGGGAGCGUUCGGGUCGAGUUCGGGGCGACUUCCGGGGUUUGGGGGUGACUUCCGGUCGAGUUCGGGGCCGCACUCGGGUCGAGUUCCGGGCUGUUCCGGCAGCGUUCGGCUCCGAGUUCGGGCCGCACUCGGGUCGAGUUCGGAGGCGUUCGGGUCGAGUUCGGGGCGACUUCCGGUCGAGUUUGGGGGCGUUCGGGUCGAGUUCGGAGGGACUCGGGUCGAGUUCGGGUGCAGUUCCGGGGUGUUCGUGACGCACUCGGGUUGAGUUCGGGGAGACUUCCGGUAGAGUUCGGGCAGAUUCGUGCUCCGUUCUGGUUGACUUCCGGGGCGUUCGGGUCCGACUUCCGGGGUGUUCGUGACGCACUGGGGUCGGGUUCGGGGGGGGCUCGGGCUCCACUCGGGUCGACUUCCGGGAACUCCGGAAGGACUCGGGGCAACUUCCGGUCGAGUUCGGGGGGACUCGGGCUGCGUUCAGCUCCGAGUUCCGGGCUGUUCGGCUUGAGUUCGGGUCGCCUUCGGGUCGAGUUCGGGGGCAAUCGGGGGGAGUUCGGGUCGAGUUCGGGAAGCGCUCGGGUUCGAAUCGGAGGCGUUCGGGUCUUUUCCGGUGACGCUCGGAGGUGUUCGGGGGGGGGUUGAGGAGCGCUCGGAAGCGUUCGGGUCCAGUUCGGGUCGCCUUCGGAUCGAGUUCGGAGCGGCUCGGGGCCGCGCUCGGGUGCCUUUCGGAAGUGUUCGGAACGGCUCGGGAGGCGCUCGGGCUGCAAUCGAAGGCGUUCGGGUCUCGUCCGGGGGCGCUCGGAAGCGUUCGGGUCGAGUUCGGCUGUCGUUCGGGGAGCACUCGGAGGAGUUCGGCUCUCGUUCGGGGGGCGCUCGGAAACGCUCGGGUCGCGUUCGGAAACGCUCGGGAUGCGAUCGGAGGUGUUCGGGGACACUCGGAGGCGCUCGGGGCGCAAUCGGUGGUGUUCGGAGACACUCGGAAGCGCUCGGGUCGGGUUCGGAAGCGUUCGGGGCACGCUCGGAGCUGUUCGGGGACACUCGGAGGCGUUCGGGUGAAGGAAACGGUCGGAAUCUGAAUUGUGGGGGACCGGAAGUGAUGGGAAACCCGGAAGUGAAGGGAAUAAGGCGGAAGGAGGACCCUAAUUAGGAUCUUAAAGUCAUUAAGUAUGGAGAAGGCUUGCAAUGACCCUGCCAGGAGCCUAAUUAGCAUGUAGGGUAAUUAGGGAGGGAGAAGACUGGGGAUUUGGCAGCCAUGGG